UACGAAGGGGGCUAGCGUUGCUCGGAAUGACUGGGCGUAAAGGGCGCGUAGGCGGUUUGUACAGUCAGAUGUGAAAUUCCUGGGCUCAACCUGGGGGCUGCAUUUGAUACGUGCGGACUUGAGUGAGGAAGAGGGUCGUGGAAUUCCCAGUGUAGAGGUGAAAUUCGUAGAUAUCGGGAGGAACACCAGUGGCGAAGGCGGUUGCCUGGAGCUUUGCUGACGCUGAUGCGCGAAAGCGUGGGGGAGCGAUCCGGG
This 255-nucleotide ribosomal RNA is filed under the name uncultured bacterium. Its description in RNAcentral is "partial 16S ribosomal RNA". It matches the Rfam family "Bacterial small subunit ribosomal RNA", at positions 524 to 777 of the family's 1533-position model. The record is from RNAcentral.